RNAcentral lists this ribosomal RNA (414 nucleotides) under uncultured microorganism. Its description in RNAcentral is "bacterial SSU rRNA". It matches the Rfam family "Archaeal small subunit ribosomal RNA", at positions 459 to 872 of the family's 1478-position model. The record is from RNAcentral.
CAGCAGCCGCGGUAAUACCGGCGGCCCGAGUGGCGGUCACUAUUAUUGGGCUUAAAACGUCCGUAGCCGGGUUGGGAAGUCCUCCGGGAAAUCUGGCCGCUUAACGGUCAGAAUGCCGGAGGAUACUCCCAGCCUAGGGAGCGGGAGAGGCCGAGGGGAUUCCCGGGGUAGGGGUGAAAUCCUAUAAUCCCGGGAGGACCACCUGUGGCGAAGGCGCUCGGCUGGAACGCGUCCGACGGUGAGGGACGAAGGCCAGGGGAGCAAACCGGAUUAGAUACCCGGGUAGUCCUGGCGGUAAACGAUGCGGACUUUGUGUCGGACAAGCUAUGAGCUUGUCCGGUGCCGGAGGGAAACCGUUAAGUCCGCCGCCUGGGGAGUACGGCCGCAAGGCUGAAACUUAAAGGAAUUGGCGGG